UUUUUUUUACCCGGAAGGGAGGAAAAGACAGCGACAGCGAUUGUCUCAGUGACGGAGAGUGAAACGGCAAGAGUUCAGAUUUGGGAUCGUGCAGUGUGGCACGAGUUGUAGAUAGCAGGUAUGAGUGUGUGUGUAUGGCGUUGUCCUAUUCCCUUGGAGCAGGUCGCACAGGGGGGGGAUAGCGCCGUGGGAUAUCGUCGGAAGCAGUGAGGCCCUUCUGAGGAGUCUAGUUGUUUGGGAAUGACAGCAUCUAAGCGGGGGGUAAAUUCCAUCAUAAGGAUAAAUAAUAGGCGACGAGACCGAUAAGAGACGCAACGUAGCUGCGAAGGAAAGAAGAAAAGCACUUCGAAAAGAGAGGGAAGCAGCACGUGAAAUUGUUGAAAGGGAAGGGUAUUGCGCCAUCCAUGGGGAUUGCGCGCCUCUUCCUUUCGUGGGCGGCGCUUCU
RNAcentral lists this ribosomal RNA (445 nucleotides) under Pichia kudriavzevii. RNAcentral describes it as "partial large subunit ribosomal RNA". It matches the Rfam family "Eukaryotic large subunit ribosomal RNA", at positions 1 to 475 of the family's 3401-position model. The record is from RNAcentral. Lineage: Eukaryota; Fungi; Ascomycota; Pichiomycetes; Pichiales; Pichiaceae.